RNAcentral lists this long non-coding RNA (1169 nucleotides) under Theobroma cacao (cacao). Its description in RNAcentral is "long non-coding RNA (TCAC_LNC003300)". Lineage: Eukaryota; Viridiplantae; Streptophyta; Magnoliopsida; Malvales; Malvaceae. The record is from RNAcentral.
CAAAAGUAAAGAGAUAGUACUCGAGGAUCAAGAAUUGAAGUACUCAAAAUUCGACUCCCGAAAUAGUGAGUAACCUUAUCAUCAUCUUGAUUAUCUAAAGUGGUCUUUUUAUUCGAUUUUGUGAUUUUUAUGGAAAAUGAGUUUAAAUGGUAAAUCUUAAUGUUUUAUAAGCAAAAUGUGAUUAAAUGGAAUGAUUUUAUAAAAUUGUUUUGAAAUUGAAUUAUGGUUUUGAAAAUUGAGUAAUUGGAGGCUAAUUGAUGCGUUGUAAAUUAUGGUUUGAAUUGAAUGGCUUAUGAUAAUGUGGGCAUGAGUGGCUAGAUUUGGUAAAUGUGCUGAAAAAGUAUGAACUGUUGAUUUGCCUUGAGAGGUUGUAAAAUAAAAUAAUUGUCAUGUCAUGCUGUUGAAUUUUAUUGAAUUGGUGGGUUAUAAAUUGGUCACUGCAGUGGACGGGUUCUGUGAACCAGCCUAUUAGAGGGGCACGGUAACCUUAUUAUAUUCAUACCUCAGUAUGAGAGGCGCGGUUAGAUAACUCCUGAGGUUAAAACUUUAGAGUUCACUUCACGCCAAACCACCACUUGAGGGUAAACUCAGCUAACGCCAAGGAACAACUAUGUUUUCAAAAUAAAUAAAAAAAACAUGAUUUAUACGUACAUGACUUUUUAACAGCCUUGGCGGACUCGGUUGGGAUAGCCCUCGGCCAAGGUAUCCCUGAUAACUGAGUAUGAGAAUGAUUUUGGCACGAGCCAAACUUUUCAGGAAAUCAUAAGCCUCGUUGUUUAUUUUGGUGAAAUGAAUCUAUUUUAUCUUAUUAAAACGAGUUCGAAAUGCUGUGAAUCAUUUUUAUGCUAAUCUAUUUUAUCUGUCUCUAUUUACUUAGCUUUAGAUAUUUUAGAUGGUAUUUGUUUACUCACUAGGAUUAUAUAAUCUCACCACCCUCCUUUUCACCCAUUUCAGGCUUAGGAUAGUCGGUAGAUAGCUCACUUUGUUGAGGACUACAGUUAGACUUGCAUCUUCAAAAACUAUAGGUUUACCGUUUUUGAUACUUUUGGUCGUUCGUGGGCCCAUAUGUCACUGUAAAUUAAAUCUUAUACUUUGGUUAUCUGUAUUAUAGUAUGUAUGAAUUUAUUUAGCUUUUACGCUACAAAAAUUAUUUACCGGUAACUCUAUAA